This 305-nucleotide ribosomal RNA is filed under the name uncultured bacterium. Its description in RNAcentral is "bacterial SSU rRNA". It matches the Rfam family "Bacterial small subunit ribosomal RNA", at positions 338 to 657 of the family's 1533-position model. The record is from RNAcentral.
CCUACGGGGGGCAGCAGUGGGGAAUAUUGGGCAAUGGAGGAAACUCUUACCCAGCAAUGCCGCGUGAGUGAAGAAGGUCUUCGGAUUGUAAAGCUCUUUGAUUGGGGAUGAAUAAAUGACGGUACCCAAAGAACAAGCCCCGGCUAACUACGUGCCAGCAGCCGCGGUAAUACGUAGGGGGCAAGCGUUGUCCGGAAUGACUGGGCGUAAAGGGUGUGUAGGCGGUUUAUUAAGUUAGAAGUGAAAUACCUAGGGCUUAACACAGGUGCUGCUUCUAAAACUGAUAGACUUGGGUGCAGGAGGGG